GACGAACGCUGGCGGCGUGCUUAACACAUGCAAGUCGAACGGAAAGGCCCUGCUUUUGUGGGGUGCUCGAGAGGCGAACGGGUGAGUAACACGUGAGUAACCUGCCCUUGACUUUGGGAUAACUUCAGGAAACUGGGGCUAAUACCGGAUAGGAGCUCCUGCUGCAUGGUGGGGGUUGGAAAGUUUCGGCGGUUGGGGAUGGACUCGCGGCUUAUCAGCUUGUUGGUGGGGUAGUGGCUUACCAAGGCUUUGACGGGUAGCCGGCCUGAGAGGGUGACCGGCCACAUUGGGACUGAGAUACGGCCCAGACUCCUACGGGAGGCAGCAGUGGGGAAUAUUGCACAAUGGGCGGAAGCCUGAUGCAGCAACGCCGCGUGCGGGAUGACGGCCUUCGGGUUGUAAACCGCUUUCGCCUGUGACGAAGCGUGAGUGACGGUAAUGGGUAAAGAAGCACCGGCUAACUACGU
RNAcentral lists this ribosomal RNA (467 nucleotides) under uncultured bacterium. RNAcentral describes it as "partial 16S ribosomal RNA". It matches the Rfam family "Bacterial small subunit ribosomal RNA", at positions 28 to 506 of the family's 1533-position model. The record is from RNAcentral.